This is a long non-coding RNA of Vulpes vulpes (red fox), 975 nucleotides long. The record is from Ensembl. Lineage: Eukaryota; Metazoa; Chordata; Mammalia; Carnivora; Canidae.
GUUGACCUCUAACCCCUUGGCUGCCCAACAUCCCACCAAGUGUCCAAAUGUUGCUGAUGCUUCCUCUGGCCCCACUCUAGGUCUGCCAUCCUUGCACCAUGCUCUAAUUCAUCCUGUAUCCGUGGGGACUUAAGUGGUCAUCUCAAGGCUCAGAUGGCUUCACCUCCUGCACAAUUCCAGCACAGCUGACCUAAACUCCCUAGUGCAUCUGCUCAGGCCUUCCACAUUUGGACGCUAAGAUUUUCUCCUAGUCAUUUCAUUUGCUCCUUGCCAAAUACCUUUCUCCAGAGAGUGAGGAAGAAGACCUUACUUAACAAGGAGGAAGAGUGAACAUUUGGAGCAUGGAAAAGGAGGGAUAAAAAGUUACCGUGCCUUGCUGAUAUGGUUUUCCAACGGCCUGUUUGCUUUCUGCUGCACAUUUUUUGUUAUACUGACUUCUGAUACACAAAUAUAACACUAUCUGUUUACUGCUGUUACAGAGCAACCCUGCCAGAAGUCAAUACCAUCAUCCCUCAGUGGGCCCAGGAAUUCUCAUCAGGAACUUGACCAGCGUAUUGGGCCCACGGAAGGACAGAGCCUGGUCCCUGAUCCCUUCCACCACAGCAAGAUGGAUUCACUCUUUGUUUGAACCUCUGCACAUCUUUAUAUCUCUCUUGCCCAUUUGCCCAUUUCUUCCUUUUUGUCCAGGAAGCACUGUGGACCCAUGGAAAGAACGUAGGUUCUGAAGUCCUAGAAACCAGUAGUUCAAAUCUUAUUUCCAUUCAGAUGGGGUAGGCCAGCAAGCUGGAGACUCGGGGAGGAGUUGUAGAUUGAGUCCAAAGGCAGUCUAUUGGGAGAACCCCCUCUUGGGCAGAGGAGGUCAGUCUUUGUUCUUAUAAGGCCUUCAAUUGAUGGGAUGAGGCCUACCACAUGAUGGAGAGCAAUCUGCUUUAUUCAAAGUCUUCUGAUUUAAAAGCAAUCUCAUCUGGGAUGCCU